AACGAACGCUGGCGGCAUGCCUAACACAUGCAAGUCGAACGAGAUCUUCGGGUCUAGUGGCGCACGGGUGCGUAACGCGUGGGAAUCUGCCCUUUGGUUCGGAAUAACAGUUGGAAACGACUGCUAAUACCGGAUGAUGACGAAAGUCCAAAGUUUUAUCGCCAGAGGAUGAGCCCGCGUAGGAUUAGCUAGUUGGUGUGGCAAAGGCGCACCAAGGCGACGAUCCUUAGCUGGUCUGAGAGGAUGAUCAGCCACACUGGGACUGAGACAUGGCCCAGGCUCCUGCGGGAGGCAGCAGUGGUGAAUAUUGGACAAUGGGCGAAAGCCUGAUCCAGCAAUGCCGCGUGAGUGAUGAAGGCCGUAGGGUUGUAAAGCUCUUUUACCCGGGAUGAUAAUGACAGUACCGGGAGAAUAAGCUCCGGCUAACUCCGUGCCAGCCGCCGCGGUAA
This 449-nucleotide ribosomal RNA is filed under the name uncultured bacterium. RNAcentral's name for it is "partial 16S ribosomal RNA". It matches the Rfam family "Bacterial small subunit ribosomal RNA", at positions 29 to 523 of the family's 1533-position model. The record is from RNAcentral.